UACGUAGGGGGCAAGCUUUGUCCGAAUUUAUUGGGCGUAAAGGGCGUGUAGGCGGCUGGGUAGGUCCUUUGUGAAAACUCGAGGCUCAACCUCGAGACGCCGAUGGAAACCAUCUGGCUAGAGUCCGGAAGAGGAGAGUGGAAUUCCUGGUGUAGCGGUGAAAUGCGCAGAUAUCAGGAAGAACACCCGUGGCUAAGGCGGCUCUCUAGUACGGUACUGACGCUGAGACGCGAAAGCGUGGGGAGCGAACAGG
This 253-nucleotide ribosomal RNA is filed under the name uncultured bacterium. RNAcentral's name for it is "partial 16S ribosomal RNA". It matches the Rfam family "Bacterial small subunit ribosomal RNA", at positions 524 to 776 of the family's 1533-position model. The record is from RNAcentral.